RNAcentral lists this ribosomal RNA (253 nucleotides) under uncultured bacterium. Its description in RNAcentral is "partial 16S ribosomal RNA". It matches the Rfam family "Bacterial small subunit ribosomal RNA", at positions 524 to 776 of the family's 1533-position model. The record is from RNAcentral.
GACGUAGGAGGCGAGCGUUGUCCGGAUUCAUUGGGCGUAAAGGGCGCGUAGGCGGGUGCUCAAGUCCGGGGUGAAAUCCUCCAGCUCAACUGGAGAACUGCCUCGGAUACUGGGUGCCUCGAGUGUGGUAGGGGUGUGCGGAACUAUCGGUGGAGCGGUGAAAUGCGUUGAUAUCGAUAGGAACUCCGGUGGCGAAGGCGGCACACUGGACCACAACUGACGCUGAGGCGCGAAAGCCAGGGGAGCAAACGGG